UACGGGGGGGGCAAGCGUUGUUCGGAAUUACUGGGCGUAAAGCGUGCGUAGGCGGCCUUUCAAGUUGGGUGUGAAAGCCCGGGGCUCAACCCCGGAAAUGCGCCCAAGACUGUUUGGCUAGAGUCUCGGAGAGGUGAGUGGAACUCCCAGUGUAGAGGUGAAAUUCGUAGAUAUUGAGAAGAACACCAGUGGCGAAGGCGGCUCACUGGACGAGUACUGACGCUGAGGCACGAAAGCGUGGGGAGCAAACAGG
RNAcentral lists this ribosomal RNA (253 nucleotides) under uncultured bacterium. RNAcentral describes it as "partial 16S ribosomal RNA". It matches the Rfam family "Bacterial small subunit ribosomal RNA", at positions 524 to 776 of the family's 1533-position model. The record is from RNAcentral.